This is a long non-coding RNA of Clupea harengus (Atlantic herring), 1225 nucleotides long. The record is from Ensembl. Lineage: Eukaryota; Metazoa; Chordata; Actinopteri; Clupeiformes; Clupeidae.
UGUGUGUGUGUGUGUGUGUGUGUGUGUGUGUGUGUGUGGUGACCAUCAGGCCUGCCAACAGGUCAAAGAAUGUCUGUGUCUGUGUCUGUGUGUGUGUGUGUGUGUGUGUGGCGACCAUCAGGCCUGACAACAGGCCAAAGAAUGUCUGUGUGUGUGUGUGGCGACCAUCAGGCCUGACAACAGGCCAAAGAAUGUCUGUGUGUGUGUGUGUGUGUGUGUGUGUGGCGACCAUCAGGCCUGACAACAGGCCAAAGAAUGUCUGAAGGUCCCGGUCUUCAUGUGACUUCUGCAGCCGAGCUGAUCAAGCAUGGAUUACAACAUCAUAAUUAAAGGAUGACUAAAUGUGUUGCUUACUUGUCAUUGUAUUAUCAAAGCAUUCCAAUCAUUAUUUUGUUGUCAUUGUAUUUCAACACUUGCACAGGUACAGGGGGAGGAGUUUCAACACUUACACAGGUACAGGGGGAGGAGUUUCAACACUUACACAGGUACAGGGGGAGGAGUUUCAACACUUACACAGGUACAGGGGGAGGAGUUUCAACACUUACACAGUUCAAAUUAUGGAACACAUUACCCAUUAAUAUUAGGGAAGCAAACACGCUAGACACUUUCAAAAAGCAGCUUAAAACCUAUCUUUUUACCAAAGCAUUUUAUUAAUAUUAUUAAUUUUCUGUGGGGUUGAUACUAACUGUAACUUUCACUAUUUUUAUUAUUUCAGAAGGGUUUUAUUACUUUUAUUCCUUUUAUACCUUUUAUCCUGAUUUUAGUAAUUCAAGAAGCCUAUCGGAACAUCAGGUUCUGAUACGAUAUUAGUCAUUAUUUAACUCUAUGUAUUGCUCUUGCUGCUUGCUUUUAUUGAUUUUAUGUAAAGCACUUUGAACUGCAAUUCUUGUACGAAAUGUGCUAUAUAAAUAAAGUCUUACUUACUUACUUACAGGUACAGAGGGGGGGGGGUUCCUCCCAGCCAGGUUUAUAAAUCUGCUGUGGUCAGCCGCCUGAAGGAGAUUUUACUGAAAUGACAUGCAAUGCAUAUUAUUAAAACACCUUCAUAUCUGCAAAUCUGUUCCUGGACCUGGGAACAUGCAAAGACAUAGGAACUACAGGAAUGUUGUGUAUACUCGCCCUAUUAGGUGAAGUAUUUAGCAGACGUGACAUCCAAAGUGACAUAUAGUGCUGCUUGAAAGUAUGUGAAUCCCUUGAGCAGUUUAGAGUUUUUCUGUUGUUUUAC